CAGCCGCCGCGGUAACACGAAGGGUGCAAGCGUUACUCGGAAUUACUGGGCGUAAAGCGUGCGUAGGUGGUGGUUUAAGUCCGUUGUGAAAGCCCUGGGCUCAACCUGGGAAUUGCAGUGGAUACUGGAUCACUAGAGUGUGGUAGAGGAUAGUGGAAUUUCCGGUGUAGCAGUGAAAUGCGUAGAGAUCGGAAGGAACAUCUGUGGCGAAGGCGACUAUCUGGGCCAACACUGACACUGAGGCACGAAAGCGUGGGGAGCAAACAGGAUUAGAUACCCCAGUAGUCCCUGUCUCUUAUAC
This 301-nucleotide ribosomal RNA is filed under the name uncultured bacterium. RNAcentral's name for it is "partial 16S ribosomal RNA". It matches the Rfam family "Bacterial small subunit ribosomal RNA", at positions 509 to 807 of the family's 1533-position model. The record is from RNAcentral.